RNAcentral lists this long non-coding RNA (583 nucleotides) under Eutrema salsugineum. Its description in RNAcentral is "long non-coding RNA (ESAL_LNC000674)". Lineage: Eukaryota; Viridiplantae; Streptophyta; Magnoliopsida; Brassicales; Brassicaceae. The record is from RNAcentral.
UUCCACCACUCUAUAUGUAAACAUUUGAAACGGAACCUGUGACACUUGAUGUAACUCUGUGGAUUCCCAUGAAAGCUUCUGCAACAGCUUAGUCUCGAUCUCGCAGUAAUCCACAGGAGGAGAAACUGGCGGGUCUUGUUGGCUUAUACUGUGACAUUCCGGGUUCAAAGCUAGAAACCGCUUGAUGUAUCGUAGAAUUCUGCUUAUCGACGAGAAAGUUGGACGCUGAUUAGGGUCAGCAUGCCAGCAUCUUUUUGUCAGGUUUGUUAUGAAUUUAGGUGAAUGGAACGGGAAAAGCGGUCUCUCCCCGGCCCUAAUGUUUCUACUCAUCUUAUCUCCUUGCAGGUGGCUAUCCUCAAAUGGUACUUUACCUGUUAGAAGCUCAAAGCAGACCAUCCCAAAACUAUACACAUCAGAUUUUUCAGUAUACUUGAUGCUUCCUGCAGUUCCGCUCUGUUCUUGCUCGUCUAGCAAUUCCGGGGAAUACCAUAUGAAUGGAAAACUCUCACUCUGACCCGUCGAAGAAGCAUUUUUACUAGAGAAACCCUUGACAGAAUUCAAUCCGAACCCAGAAAUCUUCCCC